RNAcentral lists this ribosomal RNA (450 nucleotides) under uncultured bacterium. Its description in RNAcentral is "bacterial SSU rRNA". It matches the Rfam family "Bacterial small subunit ribosomal RNA", at positions 26 to 507 of the family's 1533-position model. The record is from RNAcentral.
AGGAUGAACGCUGGCGGCGUGCCUAAUACAUGCAAGUUGUGCGGUAACAGAGAGAGCUUGCUCUCUGCUGACGAGCGGCGGACGGCAGAGUAACGCGUAGGAACAUACCCCAAACUGAGGGAUAACUGCUCGAAAGAGUAGCUAAUACCGCAUGUGGUCUUCGGAUUAAAGCUUCGGCGGUUUGGGAGUGGCCUGCGUCCGAUUAGCUAGUUGGUGAGGUAAUUGCUCACCAAGGCGACGAUCGGUAGCUGGUCUGAGAGGAUGAUCAGCCUGACUGGAACUGAGAACGGUCCAGACUCCUACGGGAGGCAGCAGUAGGGAAUUUUCCACAAUGGGCGAAAGCCUGAUGGAGCAACGCCGCGUGCAGGAUGAAUGCCUUCGGGUUGUAAACUGCUUUUCUGUGUGAAGAAUAUGACGGUAACACAGGAAUAAGGGUCGGCUAACUACGUG